RNAcentral lists this ribosomal RNA (657 nucleotides) under uncultured bacterium. RNAcentral's name for it is "bacterial SSU rRNA". It matches the Rfam family "Bacterial small subunit ribosomal RNA", at positions 8 to 652 of the family's 1533-position model. The record is from RNAcentral.
AGAGUUUGAUCAUGGCUCAGGAUGAACGCUAGCGACAGGCUUAACACAUGCAAGUCGAGGGGCAGCGGGGGAGUAGCAAUACUCCCGCCGGCGACCGGCGCACGGGUGAGUAACACGUAUGAAACCUGCCCGUAGCAGGGGGAUAAGCGGAAGAAAUUCCGUCUAAUACCGCGUAACAACCCUUGGAGGCAUCUCCUCGGGUUUAAAGGGAGCGAUUCCGGCUACGGAUGGUCAUGCGUCGCAUUAGCUUGUUGGCGGGGUAACGGCCCACCAAGGCGACGAUGCGUAGGGGUUCUGAGAGGAAGGUCCCCCCACACUGGUACUGAGACACGGACCAGACUCCUACGGGAGGCAGCAGUGAGGAAUAUUGGUCAAUGGCCGCAGGGCUGAACCAGCCAAGUCGCGUGAGGGAUGACGGUCCUAUGGAUUGUAAACCUCUUUUGUCAGGGAGCAAAGGGCGCCACGUGUGGCGUUUUGCGAGUACCUGAAGAAAAAGCAUCGGCUAACUCCGUGCCAGCAGCCGCGGUAAUACGGAGGAUGCGAGCGUUAUCCGGAUUUAUUGGGUUUAAAGGGUGCGCAGGCGGAAUGUCAAGUCAGCGGUAAAAUUUCGGGGCUCAACCCCGUCGUGCCGUUGAAACUGGCGUUCUUGAGUGAGCG